ACGAAGGGUGCUAGCGUUGUUCGGAAUCACUGGGCGUAAAGCGCGCGUAGGCGGCGACUCAAGUCAGAGGUGAAAGCCUGGAGCUCAACUCCAGAACUGCCUUUGAAACUGUGUUGCUAGAGUGUCGGAGGGGAUAGCGGAAUUGCUAAUGUAGAGGUGAAAUUCGUAGAUAUUAGCAGGAACACCGGUGGCGAAGGCGGCUAUCUGGACGACAACUGACGCUGAGGCGCGAAAGCGUGGGGAUCAAACAG
RNAcentral lists this ribosomal RNA (251 nucleotides) under uncultured prokaryote. RNAcentral's name for it is "partial 16S rRNA". It matches the Rfam family "Bacterial small subunit ribosomal RNA", at positions 525 to 775 of the family's 1533-position model. The record is from RNAcentral.